UACGUAGGGUGCGAGCGUUGUCCGGAAUUACUGGGCGUAAAGGGCGCGCAGGCUGUUAUGCGAGUCUGCUGUGAAAUGUACCGGCUCAACCGGUGCCUUGCGGCGGAUACUGCAUAGCUGGAGUACUGGAGAGGGAAGUGGAAUUCCCGGUGUAGCGGUGAAAUGCGUAGAUAUUGGGAGGAACACCGGUGGCGAAGGCGGCUUUCUGGCCAGUUACUGACGCUCAUGCGCGAAAGCUGGGGUAGCGAACCGGAUUAGAUA
RNAcentral lists this ribosomal RNA (261 nucleotides) under uncultured prokaryote. RNAcentral's name for it is "partial 16S ribosomal RNA". It matches the Rfam family "Bacterial small subunit ribosomal RNA", at positions 524 to 784 of the family's 1533-position model. The record is from RNAcentral.